Molecule: long non-coding RNA, 236 nt
Filed under: Elaeis guineensis (African oil palm)
Lineage: Eukaryota; Viridiplantae; Streptophyta; Magnoliopsida; Arecales; Arecaceae
Description: long non-coding RNA (EGUI_LNC020242)
Source: RNAcentral
UCUUCUAAUAUGUGUGACUCUAUAGGUUCAAACCUAAGUCGGUAGUAUAGGAAUAACUUUCUAUACUAAUCGAUGUAACCAUCUAGUAAUGGGAUCCGACAUCCAGAUAGGUCAAAAGAUUGCAAAGUAAUAUUUUAGAACCUACAGGCGUAUGGUUACUGUACAAUUCAUCCCUUUGAUCCAAAUGCUUAAGGUGAUCUAAUAUUUGACUAUCAACUCUAAUAUAGUUGACCACA